This is a long non-coding RNA of Orbicella faveolata, 211 nucleotides long. The record is from RefSeq and is a predicted model, not a curated record. Lineage: Eukaryota; Metazoa; Cnidaria; Anthozoa; Scleractinia; Merulinidae.
CCUACUUAUUCUCUUCACUUUUCUUUCAACAGGAAAAAAUUCGAAAAAAUGGAGCAUGAUGUAACGGUACAAGACGAAGAGAGGACAACGAAAUUAGAAAAAGAAAAAGAUAGCAUCCGAACUUUAAAAGACGAUCUCAAAGACAAGGCAAAGAAAUUGGAAAGUCUAGAGGCUAAGACAAAAAACCUUCAGGAUCAACUUGCAGCCAAAA